This 78-nucleotide transfer RNA is filed under the name Clostridiales bacterium. RNAcentral's name for it is "tRNA-His". It matches the Rfam family "tRNA". Rfam says of the family: Transfer RNA (tRNA) molecules are approximately 80 nucleotides in length. Their secondary structure includes four short double-helical elements and three loops (D, anti-codon, and T loops). Further hydrogen bonds mediate the characteristic L-shaped molecular structure. tRNAs have two regions of fundamental functional importance: the anti-codon, which is responsible for specific mRNA codon recognition, and the 3' end, to which the tRNAs corresponding amino acid is attached (by aminoacyl-tRNA synthetases). tRNAs cope with the degeneracy of the genetic code in two manners: having more than one tRNA (with a specific anti-codon) for a particular amino acid; and 'wobble' base-pairing, i.e. permitting non-standard base-pairing at the 3rd anti-codon position. Lineage: Bacteria; Bacillati; Bacillota; Clostridia; Eubacteriales. The record is from RNAcentral.
GUGGGUAUAGCUCAGAUUGGUUAGAGCACCAGAUUGUGGCUCUGGGGGUCGCCGGUUCGAGUCCGGUUAUCCACCCCA